UCCCUGGUGGCUCAGAUGGUAAAGAAUCUGCCUACAAUGCAGAAGACCCAGGUUCGACACCUGGGUUGGGGAG
Ovis aries (sheep) is the source of this 73-nucleotide non-coding RNA. The record is from Rfam. NCBI's taxonomy places the organism in Eukaryota, Metazoa, Chordata, Mammalia, Artiodactyla, Bovidae.